RNAcentral lists this non-coding RNA (45 nucleotides) under unclassified sequences. RNAcentral's name for it is "eL15-Euryarchaeota ribosomal protein leader". It matches the Rfam family "eL15-Euryarchaeota ribosomal protein leader". The record is from RNAcentral.
GCGGAGUAAAUCCGCUGGGAUGUAACCGAAAGGUUGAACCGUAAA